UACGUAGGGGGCAAGCGUUGUCCGGAAUCAUUGGGCGUAAAGAGCGUGUAGGCGGCCCGAUAAGUCCGCUGUGAAAGUCCAGGGCUCAACCCUGGAAUGCCGGUGGAUACUGUCGGGCUCGAAUCCGGAAGAGGUGAGUGGAAUUCCUGGUGUAGCGGUGAAAUGCGCAGAUAUCAGGAGGAACACCAAUGGCGAAGGCAGCUCACUGGGACGGUAUUGACGCUGAGACGCGAAAGCGUGGGGAGCAAACAGGAUUAGAUACCCUGGUAGUCCACGCCGUAAACGAUGGUCACUAGGUGUGGGGGGUGUCGACUCCCUCCGUGCCGGAGCUAACGCAUUAAGUGACCCGCCUGGGGAGUACGGCCGCAAGGCUAAA
This 376-nucleotide ribosomal RNA is filed under the name uncultured bacterium. RNAcentral's name for it is "bacterial SSU rRNA". It matches the Rfam family "Bacterial small subunit ribosomal RNA", at positions 524 to 898 of the family's 1533-position model. The record is from RNAcentral.